This 484-nucleotide ribosomal RNA is filed under the name uncultured bacterium. Its description in RNAcentral is "partial 16S ribosomal RNA". It matches the Rfam family "Bacterial small subunit ribosomal RNA", at positions 28 to 507 of the family's 1533-position model. The record is from RNAcentral.
AUUGAACGCUGGCGGCAUGCUUUACACAUGCAAGUCGAACGGCAGCGCGGGCUUCGGCCUGGCGGCGAGUGGCGAACGGGUGAGUAAUGCAUUGGAACGUGCCCAGUAGUGGGGGAUAGCCCGGCGAAAGCCGGAUUAAUACCGCAUACGACCUGAGGGUGAAAGCGGGGGACCGAAAGGCCUCGCGCUAUUGGAGCGGCCGAUGUCGGAUUAGCUAGUUGGUGGGGUAAAGGCUUACCAAGGCGACGAUCCGUAGCUGGUCUGAGAGGGCGACCAGCCACACUGGGACUGAGACACGGCCCAGACUCCUACGGGAGGCAGCAGUGGGGAAUUUUGGACAAUGGGGGCAACCCUGAUCCAGCCAUGCCGCGUGCGGGAAGAAGGCCUUCGGGUUGUAAACCGCUUUUGUUCGGGAAGAAAUCCUCUGGGCUAAUACCCCGGGGGGAUGACGGUACCGGAAGAAUAAGCACCGGCUAACUACGUG